AUUGAACGCUGGCGGCAGGCCUAACACAUGCAAGUCGAACGAGUGGCGGACGGGUGAGUAAUGUCUGGGAAACUGCCUGAUGGAGGGGGAUAACUACUGGAAACGGUAGCUAAUACCGCAUACCAUCAGAUGUGCCCAGAUGGGCUUAGCUAGUAGGUGGGGUAACGGCUCACCUAGGCGACGAUCCCUAGCUGGUCUGAGAGGAUGACCAGCCACACUGGACAGGAGACAGGGUCCAGACGCCUACGGGAGGCAGCAGUGGGGAAUAUGGCACAAUGGGCGAAAGCCUGAGGCAGCAAGGCCGCGUGGAUGAAGAAGGCCUUCGGGUUGUAAAGUACGUUCAGCGAGGAGGCGUUACUCGCAGAAGAAGCACCGGCUAACUCCGUGCCAGCAGCCGCGGUAAUUC
This 406-nucleotide ribosomal RNA is filed under the name uncultured bacterium. Its description in RNAcentral is "partial 16S ribosomal RNA". It matches the Rfam family "Bacterial small subunit ribosomal RNA", at positions 29 to 526 of the family's 1533-position model. The record is from RNAcentral.